This 464-nucleotide ribosomal RNA is filed under the name uncultured bacterium. Its description in RNAcentral is "partial 16S ribosomal RNA". It matches the Rfam family "Bacterial small subunit ribosomal RNA", at positions 339 to 795 of the family's 1533-position model. The record is from RNAcentral.
CUACGGGACGCAGCAGUGGGGAAUAUUGCACAAUGGGGGAAACCCUGAUGCAGCGACGCCGCGUGCGGGAAGAAGGCCUUCGGGUUGUAAACCGCUUUCAAUUGGGAAGAAGAGAUGAGAGUUAAUAGCUCUCUGAUUUGACGGUACCUUUAGAAGAAGCACCGGCUAAUUUCGUGCCAGCAGCCGCGGUAAUACGAAAGGUGCAAGCGUUGUUCGGAUUUACUGGGCGUAAAGAGAUCGUAGGUGGUUUGUUAAGUCGGAUGUGAAAUCCCGGGGCUCAACCUCGGAACUGCAUUCGAUACUGGCAGACUAGAGUUCGGGAGGGGUAAGCGGAAUUCCGUGUGUAGCAGUGAAAUGCGUAGAUAUACGGAGGAACACCUGAGGCGAAGGCGGCUUACUGGACCGAUACUGACACUGAGGAUCGAAAGCGUGGGUAGCAAACAGGAUUAGAUACCCCAGUAGUC